This 392-nucleotide unclassified non-coding RNA is filed under the name Proteus mirabilis. RNAcentral describes it as "partial 16S-23S ribosomal RNA intergenic spacer". The stretch from base 85 to 157 matches the Rfam family "tRNA". Lineage: Bacteria; Pseudomonadati; Pseudomonadota; Gammaproteobacteria; Enterobacterales; Morganellaceae. The record is from RNAcentral.
CCUAAGAGAUACGUGUUAUGUGCAGUGCUCACACAGAUUGUCUGAUGAAGAACGAGCAAAAGCGCGUCUGCGAAGCUGACAAAAGUCCCCUUCGUCUAGAGGCCUAGGACACCGCCCUUUCACGGCGGUAACAGGGGUUCGAAUCCCCUAGGGGACGCCAAUGCGCGGUAUGAGUGAAAGGCGUACCACUUAUCUGACGAGAGUCAGAGAAUAACUAAGCUAAUUCAAACGAGUCAUCUUACUUAUUAUGCUCUUUAACAAUCUGGAACAAGCUGAAAAAUUGAAAACAAAUCAAUAUAUCAACGAGGUAUAUUGGUGAGUCUCUCAAAAUCUCAAACCUUAAAGUUUGUCACGCAAAGUUUAUCUUUGAAAGAGACACUUUCGGGUUGUGA